This 77-nucleotide transfer RNA is filed under the name Arthrobacter sp. RNAcentral describes it as "tRNA-Val". It matches the Rfam family "tRNA". From Rfam's summary of the family: Transfer RNA (tRNA) molecules are approximately 80 nucleotides in length. Their secondary structure includes four short double-helical elements and three loops (D, anti-codon, and T loops). Further hydrogen bonds mediate the characteristic L-shaped molecular structure. tRNAs have two regions of fundamental functional importance: the anti-codon, which is responsible for specific mRNA codon recognition, and the 3' end, to which the tRNAs corresponding amino acid is attached (by aminoacyl-tRNA synthetases). tRNAs cope with the degeneracy of the genetic code in two manners: having more than one tRNA (with a specific anti-codon) for a particular amino acid; and 'wobble' base-pairing, i.e. permitting non-standard base-pairing at the 3rd anti-codon position. Lineage: Bacteria; Bacillati; Actinomycetota; Actinomycetes; Micrococcales; Micrococcaceae. The record is from RNAcentral. RNAcentral also lists the same sequence under 11 other names.
GCCUGUGUAGCUCAGUCUGGUAGAGCAUCCGCUUCACACGCGGAAGGCCCGGGGAUCAAGGCCCCGCGCAGGCACCA